RNAcentral lists this microRNA precursor (57 nucleotides) under Canis lupus familiaris (dog). Lineage: Eukaryota; Metazoa; Chordata; Mammalia; Carnivora; Canidae. The record is from RNAcentral.
UAUCCAGAAAGGCGCUCGUUAUGGAUUCUAAGUGUAACGAGUACCUUUCUGGAUUGA